UACGUAGGUGGCAAGCGUUAUCCGGACUUAUUGGGCGUAAAGAGAACGCAGGCGGUCUUUUAAGUCUGAUGUGAAAGCCUUCGGCUUAACCGGAGUAGUGCAUUGGAAACUGGGAGACUUGAGUGCAGAAGAGGAGAGUGGAACUCCAUGUGUAGCGGUGAAAUGCGUAGAUAUAUGGAAGAACACCAGUGGCGAAAGCGGCUCUCUGGUCUGUAACUGACGCUGAGGUUCGAAAGCGUGGGUAGCAAACAGG
Molecule: ribosomal RNA, 253 nt
Filed under: uncultured bacterium
Lineage: Bacteria
Description: partial 16S ribosomal RNA
Rfam family: Bacterial small subunit ribosomal RNA
Source: RNAcentral